This 458-nucleotide ribosomal RNA is filed under the name uncultured bacterium. Its description in RNAcentral is "partial 16S ribosomal RNA". It matches the Rfam family "Bacterial small subunit ribosomal RNA", at positions 338 to 795 of the family's 1533-position model. The record is from RNAcentral.
CCUACGGUGGGCAGCAGUGAGGAAUAUUGGUCAAUGGGCGAGAGCCUGAACCAGCCAAGUCGCGUGAGGGAGUACUGCCCUAUGGGUUGUAAACCUCUUUUGUCGGGGAGCAAAAGCCGGACGUGUCCGGCUGUGAGAGUACCCGAAGAAAAAGCAUCGGCUAACUCCGUGCCAGCAGCCGCGGUAAUACGGGGGAUGCGAGCGUUAUCCGGAUUUAUUGGGGUUAAGGGGGGCGCAGGCGGAUUUUUAAGUCAGCGGUCAAAUCGUGGGGCUCAACCCCAUCCAGCCGUUGAAACUGGGGAGCUGGAGUGUGCGAGAGGUAUGCGGAAUGCGUGGUGUAGCGGUGAAAUGCAUAGAUAUCACGCAGAACCCCGAUUGCGAAGGCAGCAUACCGGUGCACAACUGACGCUCAGGCACGAAAGCGUGGGUAUCGAACAGGAUUAGAUACCCGGGUAGUC